RNAcentral lists this long non-coding RNA (2069 nucleotides) under Nicotiana benthamiana. Its description in RNAcentral is "long non-coding RNA (NBEN_LNC006128)". The record is from RNAcentral. Lineage: Eukaryota; Viridiplantae; Streptophyta; Magnoliopsida; Solanales; Solanaceae.
UUAACUCAUAGUCGACUAAAUGCCAAUAAUCUAGAACCCAUGAACUACCAUUUAGCUUCAAGAUUUUAUUAUUUUAAGAAAGAAAUGAACAAUUAACAGUUGUUGAAACUCAACACUAAGUAGCCACCCUGCAAUUCUGUAAGGCUAAUUGAGAAGGUGCAUUCCUACUAUUUCCUACAUAAUUUCAAAACCAAUUUUGAAUGGCAAUUUUAGGUCCAAACCCCAGCAACAUGAAAUGAAAUUACACAAUAGCUAAACAUAAACUGACUUGUUUAUUCCAUUUUGACUCAUAUUUACAGGUCUCCUUAUAUUCAAGAAAACUUCAACUCCAUCACAAUUUCGAGAGUAUACCAGGAUAGGAAUAGAAUAGAGAAAAGGAGGUAAUAAGUCAUCAAUAAAAGAACAAAAAUCAAUCGACCAAAAUGUUAGUUAAAUCCAGGCUUCAAACAAUCGAUACCCAGCAACUCAGAAGGAGUUCACUCGAACAAAAAUCCAACAGACCUGGAAUCAAUAUUAAAAACCAAGUUAAAUUCAUUUCUGCUUAUAAAUGUAGAGCUACUGUUUUUAGACUUGGAGAUGAACUAGAAAAUCGAUGAAACUACAUAGACUCAAUGAAACAGAAGAGGUUUUCUUCAGCACAACCAGAACUCAAAAGCUUUUUCAAUACGAAAUCAAGCCAUUUUUGUCAAAAGAUUCUAUGUUUUUCUUGUAUUCUGAGAAUAACUUAAAAUCCAAAGCAAACUACUAAUGGAAUAGUGUUCUAAAAUUUUAGCCGCCUCUUGUGUUUUCUGGAUUUUCUCCUCUAAGUCUUACCUUUAAAGGCAAGAAUGCAAGGCUUUAUAGGCCAGCAAAAUAGGGCAACCUUCACAUUCAACUAUUCAUCCUUUACCCCCUUUUAAUUUUAUUUUUUAUUCAAUUCAGUCCUGGGUUCGAAUUCUAAUUUCCUCACCCCAAAUAAUAUCUAAAAAGCCUAUCCUCUCUCAUCGCAUGUGACCCCAACCAUAUCCUUUAAGAAACCUCCCUCAUAACAGAAAUAUUCCAUAUACUAAAUUCCUAGAAUACCCCAUAAAUACCCUGAAACUUACCCCCAGCUAACUAUGCAGAAAAGGGUCAGCUUGACCCAGCACUUAACGGGCCUCUUGCAUGAGUCAAAGAUGACUUCAAGGUCCAAAAAAUAAUGGAAAUAUGUUUUGGAAAUCCAAUAAGAAACAGCAUGAACUAAUUACUCGACUUUUUUUUCUAAUAACUAAAAACUAAACCCAAACAAUUAGUCUCCUUUAAAAUUUAAACAAUGAGCUACAAUUAAGCUACAUUUUUGAAUUAAUUAAAGCCAAAAUAAUACUAGAAAACAAACCAGAACUUAAUGAGCAACAUGUACAAAUUAAACAAAAAUUACAAGAACUUAUACAAGAAAAUUGGAAUGAACAAAGAAACCUAUAUUCCGUGCUUUAAUACCCUACAAAAAAUUAAAACAAAGAACACUUAAAGGAAAUGGGGAGGGGCUGGUAAACAGAAAACAGACAGAACAAGGGUAGAAGAAGAGGGAAACGAGUAUAUGAACAAAUAGAAGAUGAAGAUGAAAAGGCAAAAUGAAGGAAAUACCUCGAAGGCCAUAUGGACGAUGCUUAUAGAACUCAGUAGCUCAAACUUGACUCAAAAAUGGUAUUAUCCUUGUGUUCCCUUUUAGAACAAACGAGCGAUUCUCAUUUUAAGGCCAAUCGAUCAAUAGAACUCGAUGACUUUAGAGAUUUUCUUAUCUUAGAUUUAUAGACAAAAAACUGGUCCAAUUUGGCGAGGAUUUGAUUCGAAUUGGUGGUGUAUUAGGACUUAGGAACCGGUUGAUGGUUGAAUGGUUGGAUUUUGGGGGUGGUUUGUGGUAGGUUGCCAGUGACAAUGGCGAUUUAGGGUUGGAGGAUAUGGAGAAGACGAGACUUGGGGUUGGAGGAACUGAUGUGGUCUCUUUGGAUUUAGAGAGUCUUAUGUGAAAUUGGAGAAGUAUAUACAGUCGUUGGAGGAUUCAGAUCAAUUUGAGUGAUGGGAACUCGAUACUAUGUCGUGUAGGGGCUGAC